This 762-nucleotide small RNA is filed under the name Rattus norvegicus (Norway rat). Its description in RNAcentral is "uncharacterized LOC102551607". The record is from RNAcentral. Lineage: Eukaryota; Metazoa; Chordata; Mammalia; Rodentia; Muridae.
GAGGGAGGAAGGGAAAAUUCUAAUCACACACCCACUACCUUCAGUGUUCGGAGAAGGGGAUGCCCCCUCCCGCCCCCCGCACAGAAGAUAAGCCUUUUAUUCUCCCCUUCCGCAAAUAUAUAAGCUCUUAAGAGUUUCAGAAGACGAUGCUGAGGAAGUAAAACCUCUUUCCUCUUACUACUGUCUAUUCUGUCAAACACAACCGCAUUCUCUGGGCAGAUAAGUUCUGUACCAUCCCUCCGAUCAGAAAUAAAGACACCUCAAAACGAGGGACGUGUGCAAAGGAAAGGUUAAGAUAAAUAUUGAGGCUCCGACCCUAGGUUCCCAAGACAUUCUCCAUGUAGUCUGAGCCUCCUCAGGGUAAAAGGGACUAAGAGGCUGGGUUCUCAGGAGUACUGAUGUCCCCAACUGCUGGCAAAGCAAGGCCGGCCUAAGAAGGCAUUGAAUAGAUCUCGGGAGAGGCAGAACUACUACGGGGAGGGCAGGGCAGAGCAGGGCAGGCAUUGCAGCCCAGAGUUUUUAGUGAGGCGAUCCCUGAGUUCCGGGAAGACGCGACCAGAAUCUCUGAGAACCCUGACGCGGGUUCUCAAGAAGUAUAAGCCUGCAACUCAUGGAUCCGAAGCGUGGAUGCGACAGUUCGGACUCAUACAUAGGUAUGAGAAAUGGAGGCCAACCUGAUCUACAAUCCAAGAUCCAGGCCAGCCAGGGCUACAUGAUGAGACUGUCUCUCGGGUUUUUUUCGAAAAUAAAAUACAAAAGUGC